GUAGGUGGCAAGCGUUGUCCGGAAUUAUUGGGCGUAAAGCGCGCGCAGGCGGUCCUUUAAGUCUGAUGUGAAAGCCCACGGCUCAACCGUGGAGGGUCAUUGGAAACUGGGGGACUUGAGUACAGAAGAGGAAAGCGGAAUUCCAAGUGUAGCGGUGAAAUGCGUAGAGAUUUGGAGGAACACCAGUGGCGAAGGCGGCUUUCUGGUCUGUAACUGACGCUGAGGCGCGAAAGCGUGGGGAGCAAACAGGGAUUAGAUACCCUGGUAGUCCACGCCGUAAACGAUGAGUGCUAAGUGUUAGGGGGUUUCCGCCCCCUUAGUGCUGCAGCUAACGCAUUAAGCACUCCGCCUGGGGAGUACGGCCGCGAGGCUG
RNAcentral lists this ribosomal RNA (373 nucleotides) under uncultured organism. RNAcentral's name for it is "partial 16S ribosomal RNA". It matches the Rfam family "Bacterial small subunit ribosomal RNA", at positions 527 to 896 of the family's 1533-position model. The record is from RNAcentral.